UGACCAGAGAAGUCCAUCACAAGGGAGGUGAUAGAGAAACUCAAUUUUACUAUGGACAUAUUUAAUGUGAUCCUGCCUUUCCCUUGCUAGAUAGGACGGCGGGGAAGAAAAGUUGAUAGACAAUAGGAGAGAGGUUUGCACAAAAACGGAUAAAAUCAUUGAGGCACUUGCAACUGGUUUGUAGUUUUUUGUAGAACUGGAAUAUUUGACCUCACGUUAGAAAUGCUGUUAAGCCACAUUUCACAAACACAGUCUCACAUGUCUAUAUGAACUCAGUUCUGCCCCUAGAGCUCCAGCAGAUUUAUGACCAGCUGAGAUGUGAUCACCAAGCAUCAGUAACUGACACUGAAACCUUCCCAGACCUAGGACGUGGUUCCCACCCUUCCUAAUGCUGCAACCCUUUAAAACAGUUCUUCAUGAUGUGGUGAAGCCCCCCCAACUAUAAAAUAAUUUUGUUGCUACUUCAUAACUGUCAUUUUGCUACUGUUACAAGUUGUGAUAUACAUAACUGAUAUGCAGAGUAGCUGAUAUGGGACCCCUGCGAAAGGGACAGUUGAUCCCCCACAAAAAGGGUCGUGACCCACAGGUUGAGAAUCCCUGACCUUGGACAAACAUUGAAGCAUCACAGGGCAAGAAUGCCUUUUAGAUGAGCUGGUGAUUUAAUGCCACAGCAAGGCUUUGUGUGUCUAGACCGUUUCUGUCACAGCAACCUCAGUGUUGAGAUUCAGAAGUGACAUCUCUGCCUAGCUAGAAUGGAAACCACAGAUUCCAUGCUCUGCUUAGACAUCUGGACAAUCCACUGUAAAAAAAAAAAAAAGCGUAAGUUAGAAGUGAAGACCGACCAUGGGAGAGUUCCUCACACAUAACUUAGUUUUCACCUUCGAUUUCGGUACCAUUUUUAAGAAUGGGUUAGGAUGAUGCAGAACAGACCCCUUUGUAUUGUAAUGAUGAAAUACAAGGUUAACACAUGAAGGAAUGGUGAGUGGUAGUUAUCAAAGGGAUGAGCAGGAUGACCAAACACGUCAGGUGACAACAAUGCCUCUUAUGAUGGUGCCCCUUCCCCCACCCUCAUUGAUGCAUUCAUUUUGGGGAAUGCCAUUGUACGUGCAAAGGCUUUACCCCCUCAAACACAUUGGACAUUUUGUGGUCUUCAGGAGGAAGAGGAGAAGAAGAAGAAGCAGAAGAGGAGGAAGAGGAGGAGGAGGAGGAGGAGGAGGAGGAGGAAAUCUUUACCAAUCAGAGUCACAUCUGUCUUGUGAGAGGCAGCCUUAGCUGUUCUUGGAAAGAAGGUUCUAGAGUGUGAGGGCCACAGAGGCCCAGAAGAAGCCAGCAUUGCAGGGCUGAGCACCGUGUAAAUAUCUCCCGCCUUCUAUGUGAACACGAGUGAUCACCUUCCGCAGAGAUAAUCAUAUGUUCGUUGUGACUUUAGCUUGUGAAAGAAAUGCAAACGUUUGCUUCAACAGCUUCCCAAACGUACCUGUUGAGUAUGGAUGUGCCUGCCUUUUUGCCUCGUGUGCCAAAUGCAAUACUGGAUGCAUUGUUUUUAAAUAAACUGUUUUAUUGUGCAUUGGAA
This 1573-nucleotide long non-coding RNA is filed under the name Rattus norvegicus (Norway rat). RNAcentral's name for it is "long non-coding RNA NONRATT013510". Lineage: Eukaryota; Metazoa; Chordata; Mammalia; Rodentia; Muridae. The record is from RNAcentral.